RNAcentral lists this long non-coding RNA (562 nucleotides) under Ananas comosus (pineapple). Its description in RNAcentral is "long non-coding RNA (ACOM_LNC002160)". The record is from RNAcentral. Lineage: Eukaryota; Viridiplantae; Streptophyta; Magnoliopsida; Poales; Bromeliaceae.
CUGAUCCGGUGAGUACUCCUCGCCUUCUUCGGCUUGCGGUACCCACUGGGAGGGGAGACAUGUUUACAUGUUCUCACCUCCCCCACUAUUUUUUCAGGUAUUACAGGUGUUGAGUUUUGGGACGAGACGUGAGGUACGUUCGUAGCGGUCGAUAGAGCUUCCGACCCAGGUUAUCGGUUUAGUUUUACCCCUACUAUUCUGUUGUUAUAGCUUAGUCAGUUCAUAUGGUUCAGUAUUUUUAUUACAUUGGAAAAUGUGGAUUUCUGGAUUUUGUAAAAUAAAAGGUUUUCUACCCCUCGUGGUAGCGUUUUUAACGAAUAAGGGUUUCCGUGUAGGGAACAGUUUUCAAAAGAAUUUUCGUGAAUUUAUAUUUAAACACUGAACAUAAAACUGUGAUGUGAAUGGUGAAUGUAUGAAUGUAUGGUUAUCUUUAUAUUCAUUUGGUUGUGGUUGUUUCCUGGCUAUACUCUUGUACUUGUGUGACGCCGUGCAAGUACAGGGGAGACUCUGUCCGUGUGAAUAGUGGAUUCCCUGUAUUUGUGGCGGAUCUGCCAUACUCUGG